CUUGAUAGCCUCCAUCAUUAGGCCCACUCUGGAAGUUGUGUUGCAUGUUCCCAGGCAUGUCACUGGACCAUCCUCCCAUGUUGUUCUGUGGAGGCAUGUUGUUCUGUGGUGGAAUGUAGUUGUUUUGAGGGGGCACAUAGUUUUGCGGCGGCAUGUUGUUCUGCAGGGGCAUGUUGUUUUGCGGCGACAUGUUGUUCUGCAGGGGCAUGUUGUUCUGUGGGGGCAUGUAGUUUUGUGGUGGCAUGUUCUGUGGCCCUCUAUUCAUAUUGUUCUGUUGCCCACCUACAUAGUUAUUAGGCCGUGGUCCACCUGGUCCACCAAUGUUCGGGGGUCCGC
RNAcentral lists this long non-coding RNA (336 nucleotides) under Populus tremula. RNAcentral describes it as "long non-coding RNA (PTRE_LNC000589)". Lineage: Eukaryota; Viridiplantae; Streptophyta; Magnoliopsida; Malpighiales; Salicaceae. The record is from RNAcentral.